CUCAGUAACGGCGAGUGAAGCGGCAACAGCUCAAAUUUGAAAUCUGGUCCCUCUCGGGGUCCGAGUUGUAAUUUGCAGAGGAUGCUUUCGGCGAGGCGCUGACCGAGUCCCCUGGAAUGGGGCGCCACAGAGGGUGAGAGCCCCGUAUGAUCAGAUGCCGAACCGGUGUAAAGCUCCUUCGACGAGUCGAGUAGUUUGGGAAUGCUGCUCUAAAUGGGAGGUAAAUUUCUUCUAAAGCUAAAUACCGGCCAGAGACCGAUAGCGCACAAGUAGAGUGAUCGAAAGAUGAAAAGCACUUUGAAAAGAGAGUUAAAAAGCACGUGAAAUUGUUGAAAGGGAAGCGCCCAUGACCAGACUUGAUCUCAGGGGAUCAUCCGCCGUUUUCGGCGGUGCACUCCCCUGUGCUUCAGGCCAGCAUCGGUUCUCUCCGGGGGAUAAAAGCGCCGGGAACGUGGCUCUCUUCGGGGAGUGUUAUAGCCCAGCGUACAAUGCUCC
RNAcentral lists this ribosomal RNA (495 nucleotides) under Ophioceras sp. Its description in RNAcentral is "eukaryotic LSU rRNA". It matches the Rfam family "Eukaryotic large subunit ribosomal RNA", at positions 79 to 553 of the family's 3401-position model. The record is from RNAcentral. Lineage: Eukaryota; Fungi; Ascomycota; Sordariomycetes; Magnaporthales; Ophioceraceae.